This 430-nucleotide ribosomal RNA is filed under the name Rhinella margaritifera group sp. ABGD cluster 36. RNAcentral describes it as "partial large subunit ribosomal RNA". It matches the Rfam family "Bacterial large subunit ribosomal RNA", at positions 1835 to 2467 of the family's 2925-position model. Lineage: Eukaryota; Metazoa; Chordata; Amphibia; Anura; Bufonidae. The record is from RNAcentral.
CUUGAACUUUAUAAGAGGUCCAGCCUGCCCAGUGACUCUGUUCAACGGCCGCGGUAUCCUAACCGUGCGAAGGUAGCGUAAUCACUUGUUCUUUAAAUGUGGACUAGUAUGAAUGGCACUACGAGGGUUAUACUGUCUCCUUUUUCUAAUCAGUGAAACUAAUUUUCCCGUGAAGAAGCGGGAAUAUUACUAUAAGACGAGAAGACCCUAUGGAGCUUUAAACAACCCAGCAAUUACUUCUAAAAUUAUAAAUUUCAGAAUAUUCAUUUUUCUAAGUAACAUGUCUGCAAGUUUUUGGUUGGGGUGACCAUGGAGAAUAACAUAACCUCCAUAUUGAAUGAAUUCCCUUCUAAGCUAAAAAUUACCUAUUGAAGCAUCAAUAUACUGACAUCUAUUGACCCAAUAUAUUUGAUCAACGAACCAAGUUACC